ACAUCUUAAUGAGAUGUACAUAAACCAAUUUAAUCCUUUGCUUAAAUCAGUUUACAGUGAUUUAUCAAUGCAAGCUGAAAACAGUGCAUGUAAGGAUUACACUGGUUUAAAUGUCUACAUUAGAGCAAAGCAUUUGGGAUGGGGUUUGAGCACGUGCUGAAUUUCCUGGGCCAAGGCUUCCAUUGAGAACACACAGGGAUGAAGCCAGAGCUGACAUGCACAGUUUGCCGUGGCUUCCCGGGUAUGAGAAUUUGUUUUCAUUUUACAUUUGAAUGAAAUACAAGAAAAGCAAUGUGACUGUUCAGAAAGGUUUGCCUUUCGUCAUGGUGCUUCUGUGAAACUUUUCUGUGCUUUCCACAGAAAAUGAACACUUUUUUUUGCUGAUGGUGUCCACUAUCAGACAAAGUAUAAAAAAACUCUGUGCAUUUAAUAGUUAUCGCAUUCCCA
This 447-nucleotide long non-coding RNA is filed under the name Numida meleagris (helmeted guineafowl). RNAcentral describes it as "lncRNA (ENSNMEG00000001981.1)". Lineage: Eukaryota; Metazoa; Chordata; Aves; Galliformes; Numididae. The record is from RNAcentral.